RNAcentral lists this ribosomal RNA (439 nucleotides) under uncultured bacterium. Its description in RNAcentral is "partial 16S ribosomal RNA". It matches the Rfam family "Bacterial small subunit ribosomal RNA", at positions 339 to 795 of the family's 1533-position model. The record is from RNAcentral.
CUACGGGGUGCACCAGUGGGGAAUAUUGCACAAUGGGGGAAACCCUGAUGCAGCAACGCCGCGUGGAGGAUGACGCAUUUCGGUGUGUAAACUCCUUUUAUAUAGGAAGAUAAUGACGGUACUAUAUGAAUAAGCACCGGCUAACUCCGUGCCAGCAGCCGCGGUAAUACGGAGGGUGCAAGCGUUACUCGGAAUCACUGGGCGUAAAGCGCGCGCAGGCGGCCUUUUAAGUUGGAUGUGAAAGCCUAUGGCUUAACCAUAGAACUGCAUCCAAAACUAUCAGGCUAGAGUCUGGGAGGGGGAGAUGGAAUUAGUUGUGUAGGGGUAAAAUCCGUAGAGAUAACUAGGAAUACCAAAAGCGAAGGCGAUCUUCUGGAACAGUACUGACGCUGAGGCGCGAAAGCGCGGGGAGCAAACAGGAUUAGAUACCCGUGUAGUC